UCAUAUGCAACGGGAAUAAUUGCUCUACUUAUCAUGCAAAAUAUAUUUUACUCAACAUGGUCAAAGGGCUGCUUGCCUUUGCUCACACAAGUCAUCGGGGUAUUCGAGGUCUUCCGGUCCAACUCCGAGUACUCCCUCUACUCCGUCAACUAACGUCGGAUACAACACAGUAAGCCAUACAGCAAGCAGAAACAAAAGUGCUAUAAAAAUGGUAUUUUCAAUUUCCUUGGACUUAUCUGGUCAUAAGAAAAAUACCUGAAGCUUGUUAUAGGGGAUUUGGACCAUCAGAGAUUUUUGAAUGGAUGAAAGGAAGGAUAGGUGAUCCUUAUAGAAGCCUACAGAAAACA
Molecule: long non-coding RNA, 347 nt
Filed under: Hordeum vulgare
Lineage: Eukaryota; Viridiplantae; Streptophyta; Magnoliopsida; Poales; Poaceae
Description: long non-coding RNA (HVUL_LNC015550)
Source: RNAcentral